CACGUAGGGUGCGAGCGUUGUCCGGAAUUAUUGGGCGUAAAGAGCGCGUAGGCGGCCAGAUAAGUCCGGUGUGAAAGUCAAAGGCUCAACCUUUGAAUGCCGCUGGAAACUGUCUGGCUAGAGUCCGGGAGGGGCGAGUGGAAUUCCUGGUGUAGCGGUGAAAUGCGUAGAUAUCUGGAGGAACACCGGUGGCGAAGGCGGCAUCCUGGACCACGACUGACGCUGAGUGAGCGAAAGCCAGGGGAGCAAACAGG
This 254-nucleotide ribosomal RNA is filed under the name uncultured bacterium. Its description in RNAcentral is "partial 16S ribosomal RNA". It matches the Rfam family "Bacterial small subunit ribosomal RNA", at positions 524 to 776 of the family's 1533-position model. The record is from RNAcentral.